AGAGUUUGAUCAUGGCUCAGAUUGAACGCUGGCGGCAGGCUUAACACAUGCAAGUCGAGCGGGGGAGGUUGCUUCGGUAACUGACCUAGCGGCGGACGGGUGAGUAAUGCUUAGGAAUCUGCCUAUUAGUGGGGGACAACAUUCCGAAAGGAAUGCUAAUACCGCAUACGCCCUACGGGGGAAAGCAGGGGAUCUUCGGACCUUGCGCUAAUAGAUGAGCCUAAGUCGGAUUAGCUAGUUGGUGGGGUAAAGGCCUACCAAGGCGACGAUCUGUAGCGGGUCUGAGAGGAUGAUCCGCCACACUGGGACUGAGACACGGCCCAGACUCCUACGGGAGGCAGCAGUGGGGAAUAUUGGACAAUGGGCGCAAGCCUGAUCCAGCCAUGCCGCGUGUGUGAAGAAGGCCUUUUGGUUGUAAAGCACUUUAAGCGAGGAGGAGGCUCCUUUAGUUAAUACCUAAAGUGAGUGGACGUUACUCGCAGAAUAAGCACCGGCUAACUCUGUGCCAGCAGCCGCGGUAAUACAGAGGGUGCGAGCGUUAAUCGGAUUUACUGGGCGUAAAGCGUGCGUAGGCGGCUUUUUAAGUCGGAUGUGAAAUCCCUGAGCUUAACUUAGGAAUUGCAUUCGAUACUGGAAAGCUAGAGUAUGGGAGAGGAUGGUAGAAUUCCAGGUGUGGCGGUGAAAUGCGUAGAGAUCUGGAGGAAUACCGAUGGCGAAGGCAGCCAUCUGGCCUAAUACUGACGCUGAGGUACGAAAGCAUGGGGAGCAAACAGGAUUAGAUACCCUGGUAGUCC
RNAcentral lists this ribosomal RNA (794 nucleotides) under uncultured bacterium. Its description in RNAcentral is "bacterial SSU rRNA". It matches the Rfam family "Bacterial small subunit ribosomal RNA", at positions 8 to 796 of the family's 1533-position model. The record is from RNAcentral.